GCACAAGCGGUGGAGCAUGUGGUUUAAUUCGACGCUACGCGAAGAACCUUACCUGGGCUUGAACUGCUGGUGGUAGAAGCCCGAAAGGGUAACGACCCGGAGCAAUCCGGGAGCCAGUAGAGGCGCUGCAUGGCUGUCGUCAGCUCGUGUCGUGAGAUGUUGGGUUAAGUCCCGCAACGAGCGCAACCCUUACCCUUAGUUGCCAGCAGGUAAUGCCGGGCACUCUAAGGGGACCGCCCCGGAUAACGGGGAGGAAGGCGGGGAUGACGUCAAGUCAGCAUGGCCCUUAUGUCCAGGGCUACACACGUGCUACAAUGGGCGAUACAGAGGGAAGCAAGGCCGCAAGGUAGAGCUAAUCCCUAAAGUCGUCCUCAGUUCGGAUUGCAGGCUGCAACUCGCCUGCAUGAAGUCGGAAUCGCUAGUAAUCGCGGAUCAGCUACGCCGCGGUGAAUACGUUCUCGGGCCUU
This 467-nucleotide ribosomal RNA is filed under the name uncultured Aminicenantes bacterium. RNAcentral describes it as "bacterial SSU rRNA". It matches the Rfam family "Bacterial small subunit ribosomal RNA", at positions 923 to 1382 of the family's 1533-position model. Lineage: Bacteria; Candidatus Aminicenantota. The record is from RNAcentral.